GUGCUUGUUGUGGCAGCACAUACACUAAAAAUGGAAUGAUACAAAGAAGAUUGGCGUGGCCCCUAGACAGGGAUGCAAACUUGUGAAGAGUUCCAUAUUUUG
This is a small nuclear RNA of Ochotona princeps (American pika), 102 nucleotides long. NCBI's taxonomy places the organism in Eukaryota, Metazoa, Chordata, Mammalia, Lagomorpha, Ochotonidae. The record is from Ensembl.